RNAcentral lists this ribosomal RNA (881 nucleotides) under uncultured marine group I thaumarchaeote. RNAcentral's name for it is "SSU rRNA". It matches the Rfam family "Archaeal small subunit ribosomal RNA", at positions 13 to 899 of the family's 1478-position model. The record is from RNAcentral. Lineage: Archaea; Thermoproteati; Nitrososphaerota.
CCUGCCGGACCUGACUGCUAUCGGAUUGAUACUAAGCCAUGCGAGUCUUUGUAGUAAUACAAGGCAGACGGCUCAGUAACACGUAGUCAACCUACCCUAUGGACAAGAAUAAUCUCGGGAAACUGGGCAUAAUUCUUGAUAGAUCAUAAUGCCUGGAAUGGUUUAUGGUUAAAAUGAUUCGUCGCCAUAGGAUGGGACUGCGGCCUAUCAGCUUGUUGGUGAGGUAAUGGCCCACCAAGGCGAUUACAGGUACGGGCUCUGAGAGGAGAAGCCCGGAGAUGGGUACUGAGACACGGACCCAGGCCCUAUGGGGCGCAGCAGGCGAGAAAACUUUGCAAUGUGCGAAAGCACGACAAGGUUAAUCCGAGUGAUUUCUGCUAAAGAAAUCUUUUGCCAGUCAUAAAACCACUGGUGAAUAAGGGGUGGGCAAGUUCUGGUGUCAGCCGCCGCGGUAAAACCAGCACCUCAAGUGGUCAGGAUGAUUAUUGGGCCUAAAGCAUCCGUAGCCGGCUUUGUAAGUUUUCGGUUAAAUCCAUGUGCUCAACGCAUGGGCUGCCGAAAAUACUGCAUGGCUAGGGAGUGGGAGAGGUAGACGGUACUCAGUAGGAAGGGGUAAAAUCCUUUGAUCUAUUGAUGACCACCUGUGGCGAAGGCGGUCUACCAGAACACGUUCGACGGUGAGGGAUGAAAGCUGGGGGAGCAAACCGGAUUAGAUACCCGGGUAGUCCCAGCUGUAAACGAUGCAGACUCGAUGAUGCAUUGGCAUAAUAGCCAUUGCAGUGUCUCAGGGAAGCCGUUAAGUCUGCCGCCUGGGAAGUACGUACGCAAGUAUGAAACUUAAAGGAAUUGGCGGGGGAGCACCACAAGGGGUGAAGCCUGCG